Molecule: ribosomal RNA, 253 nt
Filed under: uncultured bacterium
Lineage: Bacteria
Description: partial 16S ribosomal RNA
Rfam family: Bacterial small subunit ribosomal RNA
Source: RNAcentral
GACGUAGGGAGCGAGCGUUGUCCGGAUUCAUUGGGCGUAAAGCGCGCGCAGGCGGCCAUGCCAGUCGGGUGUGAAAGUCCGGGGCUCAACUCCGGAUCUGCGGUGGGUACGGGCAGACUAGAGUGAUGUAGGGGAGACUGGAAUUCCUGGUGUAGCGGUGAAAUGCGCAGAUAUCAGGAGGAACACCGAUGGCGAAGGCAGGUCUCUGGGCAUUAACUGACGCUGAGGAGCGAAAGCAUGGGGAGCGAACAGG